Molecule: ribosomal RNA, 406 nt
Filed under: uncultured bacterium
Lineage: Bacteria
Description: partial 16S ribosomal RNA
Rfam family: Bacterial small subunit ribosomal RNA
Source: RNAcentral
AUUGAACGCUGGCGGCAGGCUUAACACAUGCAAGUCGAGCGAGCGGCGGACGGGUGAGUAAUGUCUGGGAAACUGCCUGAUGGAGGGGGAUAACUACUGGAAACGGUGGCUAAUACCGCAUACUAUCGGAUGUGCCCAGAUGGGAUUAGCUAGUAGGUGGGGUAAUGGCUCACCUAGGCGACGAUCCCUAGCUGGUCUGAGAGGAUGACCAGCCACACUGGAACUGAGACACGGCCCAGACUCCUACGGGAGGCAGCAGGGGGGAAUAUUGCACAAUGGGCGCAAGCCUGAUGCAGCCAUGCCGCGUGUGUGAAGAAGGCCUUCGGGUUGUAAAGCACUUUCAGCGAGGAGGCGUUACUCGCAGAAGAAGCACCGGCUAACUCCGUGCCAGCAGCCGCGGUAAUUC